AUGGCUCGAAGCAUGAUGAAGAGCAAGGGUCUACCGGCAAGGUUUUGGGGAGAAGCGGUGACGACGGCCGUGUACUUGCUGAACCGCGCGCCGACGAAGAGUGUCGUUGGCAUGACUCCGUACGAGGCAUGGUGUGGGCGCAAACCUACAGUGGAUCAUCUUCGCACCUUUGGGUGUGUCGCACAUGUGAAGACAGUGGCUGGUCAUGUAGGCAAACUUGCCGACCGGAGUACACCAAUGAUCAUGAUUGGCUAUGAGAUGGGCUCGAAGGCGUACCGGGUAUACAACCCAGCAACAGGCAAAGUCCAAGUAACUUGA
Molecule: ribosomal RNA, 318 nt
Filed under: Triticum aestivum (bread wheat)
Lineage: Eukaryota; Viridiplantae; Streptophyta; Magnoliopsida; Poales; Poaceae
Description: partial small subunit ribosomal RNA
Source: RNAcentral